AACAAACGCUGGCGGCGCGCCUAAUACAUGCAAGUCGAACGGGGAAAGCCUUCGGGUGAGUACUAGUGGCGCACGGGUGAGUAACACGUGGGUAAUCUUCCUCGAAGCGUGGGAUAACUAGUCGAAAGAUUAGCUAAUACCACAUAAGACCACAGGAUCUGCGGAUCCAGAGGUCAAAGUUUUUCGCUUUGAGAUGAGCCCGCGCAAGAUUAGCUAGUUGGUGAGGUAAUGGCUCACCAAGGCAACGAUCUUUAGCUGGUCUGAGAGGAUGAUCAGCCACACUGGAACUGAGACACGGUCCAGACUCCUACGGGAGGCAGCAGUAGGAAUAUUGCACAAUGGAGGAAACUCUGAUGCAGCGACGCCGCGUGAGUGAUGAAGGACUUCGGUUCGUAAAGCUCUGUCGUAUGGGAAUAAGAAAGUGAAUGUACCAUGCAAGAAAGGAUCGGCUAACUUCGUGCCAGCAGCCGCGGUAAU
This 477-nucleotide ribosomal RNA is filed under the name uncultured bacterium. RNAcentral describes it as "bacterial SSU rRNA". It matches the Rfam family "Bacterial small subunit ribosomal RNA", at positions 29 to 524 of the family's 1533-position model. The record is from RNAcentral.